This 1777-nucleotide long non-coding RNA is filed under the name Homalodisca vitripennis (glassy-winged sharpshooter). RNAcentral describes it as "uncharacterized LOC124362660, transcript variant X2". The record is from RNAcentral. Lineage: Eukaryota; Metazoa; Arthropoda; Insecta; Hemiptera; Cicadellidae.
AGAUAAUCAUAUAAUUUCAUAUAAUAGAAGCAUAGAAGUUAUUGUAUAUAUCAACAAAACUUAUUAUACAGAACUUCUAUUAUAUAUGAAAAUCAGAUAGUUAGUUAAUCAUUGUUCAAUAAAUUUUAAUGAAUAUUGAAAUUUUUGUGUGUAAAAAGAUUGAAUAUUUCAAUCAGAAUCACUUUGUUCGUUAUGUCCUGUAUUUAUCUCUUACCUACGCGUACCAGCCGCCACUGUUGAAAAAAUAAAUGUUUAGUGUUUUUCAUAUUCCAUCAUCUGUAAAGUGUCUCAGUCAGCUGUAGACUGAUUCUAAGCAAAUAAACAACUAUCACAAAAGUACACUUUGUUCAUUUGCCUUACGAAUUUCCACAAUCGCUACUAAGAUAAAGAACAUCUACAUACCAAAUUCAGUGUACAGUCGAUGCAGUAGAUAGUUUGUCCUCUACCCAAGAGUUGGCGCCAACGAAUACAUCCUAGUGGCAGUUGAUGGUUACUCAAAGUUAAACUGGUUGCUUCCAUCGAAAAAUUACGUCAGGUCCCAAGGAUACUAAAAAGAGAGAUUGAAGAGACUUUAGAACUAAAUACCCUGAGAAGAGAGUCCCUCUCUUCUGAUGGUCUUUGGUUCCAAAGUCUCCAUGGAGAGAUGCACGAGGAAGUUGGAAGCCAAGAGUUCAUAGAAGAAAUAUUGAAGGGGUAUUAAAAUUCUUUCGUUGAGAAGGGUCACAGAAGAAAUAAUGUAAUUCAAUAUUAUUUGCAAUAUAAUCAAAUUAUAUUAACCAGUUCAAGAAUGUUAUUUUACUUGUUGGCUAAUAAUAUAUUUAUAUAAAAUUAUAAUGUUGAAUAUGUUUGUCUAUACAAUUCACAGGUCCCAAGGAUACUAAAAAGAGAGAUUGAAGAGACUUUAGAUCUAAAUACCCUGAGAAGAGAGUCCCUCUCUUCUGAUGGUCUUUGGUUCCAAAGUCUCCAUGGAGAGAUGCACGAGGAAGUUGGAAGCCAAGAGUUCAUAGAAGAAAUAUUGAAGGGGUAUUAAAAUUCUUUCGUUGAGAAGGGUCACAGAAGAAAUAAUGUCCCAAGGAUACUAAAAAGAGACAUUGAAGAGACUUUAGAUCUAAAUACCCUGAGAAGAGAGUCCCUCUCUUCUGAUGGUCUUUGGUUCCAAAGUCUCCAUGGAGAGAUGCACGAGGGAGUUGGAAGCCAAGAGUUCUUAGAAGAAAUAUUGAACAGGAUACCAAGAAGAGAGAUUGGAGAGAAUUUGGAUCCAAAUACACUGAGAAGACAGUCCCUCUCUUCCAAUGGUUUUCGGUUCCAAAGACUCCAUUGAUAGAUAAAGAAGAGGGUUCGUUUCCAAGAAGCUUAGAAGAAUUUUUUACGAUGUAUCAAGAAUUUUAAAAUUCUAACCUUAUAUAACCUUCGAUUUAACAGCCUACAAAAGGCAGGACAAAGUUAAAUAACUUUUGUGAUAUAGUUUAAAACCUGUUGUUUUAAGGUAUGAUAUUUUAUUUCUUAACUAAUUAUAUAUCCACAUGAAAUAUAAUACACAUAUUUGUGAAUACACUUAACAGUUCAUAAGAAUACUAAGAAGACACGUUGAAGAGAAUUUGAGUCUCUCUCUUCUGAUGGUUUUCGGUUCCAAAGUAUUCAUGGAGAGAGUUCGAAGCCAAAAGUUCUUAUAAGGAAUAUUAAAGGUUUAUCAAGAUUUUUUCAUUGAGAAGUUCACAUAAGACAGAAUGUAGUUAAAUAUAAUUUGCAAUAUAAUAAAUUCUAUUGACCAGUUCAA